AACGAACGCUGGCGGCAGGCCUAACACAUGCAAGUCGAGCGAGGACUUCGGUCCUAGCGGCGGACGGGUGAGUAACGCGUGGGAACGUGCCCUUUGCUUCGGAAUAGCCCUGGGAAACUGGGAGUAAUACCGGAUGAGCCCUUUGGGGGAAAGAUUUAUUGGCGAAGGAUCGGCCCGCGUUGGAUUAGGUAGUUGGUGGGGUAAUGGCCUACCAAGCCGACGAUCCAUAGCUGGUUUGAGAGGAUGAUCAGCCACACUGGGACUGAGACACGGCCCAGACUCCUACGGGAGGCAGCAGUGGGGAAUCUUAGACAAUGGGGGAAACCCUGAUCUAGCCAUGCCGCGUGAGCGAUGAAGGCCUUAGGGUUGUAAAGCUCUUUCAGCUGGGAAGAUAAUGACGGUACCAGCAGAAGAAGCCCCGGCUAACUCCGUG
Molecule: ribosomal RNA, 433 nt
Filed under: uncultured bacterium
Lineage: Bacteria
Description: partial 16S ribosomal RNA
Rfam family: Bacterial small subunit ribosomal RNA
Source: RNAcentral